RNAcentral lists this ribosomal RNA (504 nucleotides) under uncultured bacterium. RNAcentral's name for it is "partial 16S ribosomal RNA". It matches the Rfam family "Bacterial small subunit ribosomal RNA", at positions 29 to 523 of the family's 1533-position model. The record is from RNAcentral.
AUUGAACGCUGGCGGCAUGCCUUACACAUGCAAGUCGAACGGCAGCAUGGAGAGCUUGCUCUCUGAUGGCGAGUGGCGAACGGGUGAGUAAAGCAUCGGAACGUACCGUGUAGUGGGGGAUAACGUAGCGACAGUUACGCUAAUACCGCAUACGCACUGAGGUGGAAAGCAGGGGAUCGCAAGACCUUGCGCUAUACGAGCGGCCGAUGUCAGACUAGCUAGUUGGUAGGGUAAAGGCCUACCAAGGCGACGAUCUGUAGCGGGUCUGAGAGGAUGAUCCGCCACAAUGGGAGUGAGAAAAGGCCCAGACUCCGCGGGGCGGCAGCAGUGGGGAAUUUUGGACAAUGGGGGCAACCCUGAUCCGGCCGUGCCGCGUGAGUGAAGAAGGCCUUCGGGUUGUAAAGCUCUUUCGGCCGGGAAGAAAUCGCACAGGCUAAUACUCUGUGUUGAUGACGGUACCGGCAUAAGAAGCACCGGCUAACUACGUGCCAGCAGCCGCAGUAA